Molecule: ribosomal RNA, 301 nt
Filed under: uncultured bacterium
Lineage: Bacteria
Description: partial 16S ribosomal RNA
Rfam family: Bacterial small subunit ribosomal RNA
Source: RNAcentral
CAGUCGCCACGGUAAUACGUAGGGUGCAAGCGUUAUCCGGAAUUAUUGGGCGUAAAGAGCUCGUAGGCGGUUUGUCGCGUCUGCUGUGAAAACUGGAGGCUCAACCUCCAGCCUGCAGUGGGUACGGGCAGACUAGAGUGCGGUAGGGGAGAUUGGAAUUCCUGGUGUAGCGGUGGAAUGCGCAGAUAUCAGGAGGAACACCGAUGGCGAAGGCAGAUCUCUGGGCCGUAACUGACGCUGAGGAGCGAAAGCGUGGGGAGCGAACAGGAUUAGAUACCCGCGUAGUCCCUGUCUCUUAUAC